UCCCCACGACACUUACGGGGUCCUUACGGGGUCCUUACGGGGCCGUUACAGGGUCCUUACGGGGCCGUUAGGGGGUCGUUACGGGGUCCUUAUGGGGUCGUUAUGGGGUCCUUAUGGAGUAGUUAUGGGGUCCUUACGGGGUCUUUAUGGGGUCAUUACGGGGCUGUUACAGGGUCCUUACAGGGUCCUUAUGGGGUCCUUACGGGUUCCUUAUGGGGCCGUUACGGGGUCCUUACGGGGUUGUUGUGGGGUCGUUACGGGGUCCUUACGGGGUCCUUAUAGGGUCCUUCCGGGGUCCUUAUGGGGUCCUUACGGGGUCGUUACGGGGUCCUUACAGGGUCGUUACAGCUUCCUUAUGGGGCUGUUACGGGGUCGUUAUUGGGUCCUUAGGGGGUCGUUAUGGGGUCCUUACGGGGUUGUUUUGGGGUCCUUACAGGGUCCUUAUGGGUUCGUUAUGACUUCCUUAUGGGGUCGUUAUGGGGUCGUUAUGGCUUCCUUAUGGGGUGCCUCCGGGUUGCUUAUGGGGUCAUUAGGGGGUUGUUAUGGGGUCCUUACGGGGCCGUUACGGGGUCCUUAUGGAGUAGUUACGGGGUCCUUACGGGGUUGUUACAGCUUCCUUAUGGGGCUGUUAUGGGGUCGUUAUGGGGUCCCUACGGGGCCCUUAUGGGGCCCUUACAGGGUCCUUAGGGGGUCGUUAUGGUUUCCUUACGGGGUCCUUAUGGGGUCCUUAUGGGGUCCUUACGGGGUUGUUUUGGGGUCCUUAUGGGGUCCUUAUGGGGUCGUUAUGGGGCCGUUACGGGGUCCUUACGGGGUCCUUACGGGGUCCUUAUGGGGUCAUUACGGGGUCCUUACGGGUUCCUUAUGGGGUUGUUACGGGGUCCUUACGGGGUCCUUUUGGGGUCCUUACAGGGUCCUUAUGGGGUUGUUAUGGGGUUGUUAUGGGGCCGUUACGGGGUCCUUAUGGGGUUGUUACGGGGUCCUUACCGGGUCCUUAUAGGGUCCUUAUGGGGUCCUUACGGGGUCCUUAUAGGGUCAUUACGGGGUCCUUAUGGGAUCAUUACGGCUUCCUUAUGGGGUCCUUAUGGGGUCAUUACAGGGUCCUUUUGGGGUCCUUACGGGUUCCUUAUGGGGUUGUUACCGGGUCAUUAUGGGGUCCUUACGGGGCCGUUUCGGGGUCCUUACGGGGCCGUUCCGGGGCCCUUACGGGGCCGUCCCGGGCUCCUUCCAGGCUCGACGGCGCAGCGGGUGUGCCUGGCGGGGGACAGCGCCGGGGGCAACCUGUGCCUGACGGUGGCGCUGCGGGCGGCGGCGGUGGGGGUGCAGCCCCCCGCCGGGGUG
RNAcentral lists this long non-coding RNA (1338 nucleotides) under Anser brachyrhynchus (Pink-footed goose). RNAcentral describes it as "lncRNA (ENSABRG00000014510.1)". The record is from RNAcentral. Lineage: Eukaryota; Metazoa; Chordata; Aves; Anseriformes; Anatidae.